This is a non-coding RNA of Claviceps lovelessii, 94 nucleotides long. NCBI's taxonomy places the organism in Eukaryota, Fungi, Ascomycota, Sordariomycetes, Hypocreales, Clavicipitaceae. The record is from the annotation of a GenBank genome assembly.
GGGCGGAUGGUUUAGUGGUAUAAUACUCCCUUAGCAUGAUUACCCCGGGUAGCAUGAUUGGGAGUGGUCCGGGGUUCGAUUCCCCGUCUGUCCA